This 698-nucleotide long non-coding RNA is filed under the name Lathyrus oleraceus (garden pea). RNAcentral describes it as "Pisum sativum (pea) long non-coding RNA (PSAT_LNC034399)". The record is from RNAcentral. Lineage: Eukaryota; Viridiplantae; Streptophyta; Magnoliopsida; Fabales; Fabaceae.
GGAAUUUAGAUUGUUUUGCCCAUUUUCUUAUGUGUGUUUCCAUUACUAUUCAUGCUGCUAUGAUAGAGACUAUUAAAACUACUCAUAAUAAAAGCUGACAAAGUUUUUGAGAAGGUGAUAAAAUUAAAUGUGAUUAUUUAUAAAGGCGACUUUGCAAUUUCAAUGUUUGCUUAAACCAAAUAAAUUAACACAAAGUUAAACUGGGAAAAUCUAAACUUUAAAGCAAUUACAAAUAUUUACGGUUCCCUCACACAAAUGAUAGUCACUCUGAAAAUAAGUUGUGUUCUAAACGUAUCAUCAAAAUAAACAAUUAACUAACCAAAAAAAACUAAAGUAAUUAAAACAAAAUAGAAAUUAAAAUAAUUAAAAUAACAUUAAUAAAAAGGGUUGUGUCAAAGAGAAAAGGUUUACAUUGUUGUUCUCUCAGCUUCAAAUCAAAACAAACACGCACAACAACACACUCUUCUGCAAACGGCGUGAUAUUUACAGUAUCUCUUUCUUGUUAUGAAGCUUUUUCUUUUCAAGAAUAAACGAAAGUGAGAGUUAUGAUGAGGGAGAUUGAGGUAGAGGAAAGUCUGUGUGAGUGUUCCUAAACAUGAGAAAGAUAAAGAAGAUUUUUUGUUCGUUUUCUUUUUUUCUUCCGAAAUUUGAGAGAGAAAAUUUGUAUUAAUGUUGGUGCUGCCUCCCCUGUAUCAUUG